UGGGGGAUAUUGCGCAAUGGGGGGAACCCUGACGCAGCAACGCCGCGUGAAGGAUGACGGUUUUCGGAUUGUAAACUUCUUUGACGAGGGACGAAAGAAAUGACGGUACCUCGAAAACAAGCUCCGGCUAACUACGUGCCAGCAGCCGCGGUAAUACGUAGGGAGCGAGCGUUGUCCGGAAUUACUGGGUGUAAAGGGCGUGUAGGCGGGAUUGCAAGUCAGAUGUGAAAUACCGAGGCUUAACUUCGGGGCUGCAUUUGAAACUGUGAUUCUUGAGUGAUGGAGAGGAAAGCGGAAUUCCUAGUGUAGCGGUGAAAUGCGUAGAUAUUAGGAGGAACACCAGUGGCGAAGGCGGCUUUCUGGACAUUUACUGACGCUGAUGCGCGAAAGCGUGGGGAGCAAACAGG
Molecule: ribosomal RNA, 407 nt
Filed under: uncultured prokaryote
Also listed under: 1 other name
Description: bacterial SSU rRNA
Rfam family: Bacterial small subunit ribosomal RNA
Source: RNAcentral